GGUGGCUCAGUGGUAGAGCGCUUGCCUGGCAUGCUUGAGGCUCUGGGUUCAAUUCCUCAGCACCA
Molecule: transfer RNA, 65 nt
Filed under: Dipodomys ordii (Ord's kangaroo rat)
Lineage: Eukaryota; Metazoa; Chordata; Mammalia; Rodentia; Heteromyidae
Rfam family: tRNA
About the family: Transfer RNA (tRNA) molecules are approximately 80 nucleotides in length. Their secondary structure includes four short double-helical elements and three loops (D, anti-codon, and T loops). Further hydrogen bonds mediate the characteristic L-shaped molecular structure. tRNAs have two regions of fundamental functional importance: the anti-codon, which is responsible for specific mRNA codon recognition, and the 3' end, to which the tRNAs corresponding amino acid is attached (by aminoacyl-tRNA synthetases). tRNAs cope with the degeneracy of the genetic code in two manners: having more than one tRNA (with a specific anti-codon) for a particular amino acid; and 'wobble' base-pairing, i.e. permitting non-standard base-pairing at the 3rd anti-codon position.
Source: Rfam by way of RNAcentral